This 370-nucleotide ribosomal RNA is filed under the name uncultured organism. Its description in RNAcentral is "bacterial SSU rRNA". It matches the Rfam family "Bacterial small subunit ribosomal RNA", at positions 526 to 896 of the family's 1533-position model. The record is from RNAcentral.
CGGAGGGUGCAGGCGUUGUCCGGAUUCAUUGGGUUUAAAGGGUGCGUAGGCGGCCCUGUAAGUCAGCGGUGAAAUCCCACGGCUCAACCGUGGAACUGCCGUUGAUACUGCGGGGCUUGAGUUCGCCCGAGGUCGCUGGAAUGCGUGGUGUAGCGGUGAAAUGCAUAGAUAUCACGCAGAACACCGAUUGCGAAGGCAGGUGACUGGGGCGCGACUGACGCUGAGGCACGAAAGUGUGGGGAGCAAACAGGGUUAGAUACCCUGGUAGUCCACACCGUAAACGAUGGAUACUAGGUGUCCGGCCCCUCGGGGCUGGGUGCCCAAGGGAAACCGAUAAGUAUCCCACCUGGGGAGUACGUCCGCAAGGAUG